This 304-nucleotide long non-coding RNA is filed under the name Mytilus galloprovincialis (Mediterranean mussel). Lineage: Eukaryota; Metazoa; Mollusca; Bivalvia; Mytilida; Mytilidae. The record is from RNAcentral.
CUCAAACACAUCAAAGAAAUGGAUAACAACAAUCAUAUUCCUGACUUGGUACAUGCAUUUUCAUAUGUAGAAAAUGGUGGAUGAAAUCUGGUUUUAUAGCUAGGUAAAAAAAUCACAUUUGAAUGUCUACUCGCAGAGCUCUAAACAGUCCGAUUACAAACACUAAAAUUUAAAGCAAUGUACCAAAAAGCUAUAAAGGAGAGAUGGAAGAAAAAAGGAUAUUCAAACUCAUAAGUCAUAAUUCGGUCGUUUCGAAGUAACAAUUAAAACAAAAGGAACAUAUCCGUUGUAAUCUGCAUGCGAA